RNAcentral lists this small RNA (774 nucleotides) under Pan troglodytes (chimpanzee). RNAcentral describes it as "processed transcript". The record is from RNAcentral. Lineage: Eukaryota; Metazoa; Chordata; Mammalia; Primates; Hominidae.
CCAGGCUGAAGUGCAGUGGCAUGAACACAGCUCACUGCAGCCUCAACCUCCCAGGCUCAAGUGAUCUUCCCAUCUCAGCCUCCUGAGUAGCUGGGACUACAGAUAACAAUGAAGAUGGUGCCAAAACUGCUUUCUCCUUUGGUUAAAGAUUGGGCUCCCAAAGCAUUUAUAAUUUCCUUUAAGUUGGAGACUGACCCCGCCAUUGUAAUUAAUCGAGCUCGGAAGGCUUUGGAAAUUUAUCAGCAUCAAGUGGUGGUGGCUAAUAUCCUUGAGUCACGACAGUCCUUUGUGUUUAUUGUAACCAAAGACUCGGAAACCAAGUUAUUGCUAUCAGAGGAAGAAAUAGAAAAAGGCAUAGAGAUAGAAGAGAAGAUAGUGGAUAAUCUUCAGUCUCGACACACAGCUUUUAUAGGUGACAAAAACUGAAGUAAAAAGCCCUUAUAGGAUCAAAAAUUGUUCAGGGCUCUUAGAGAUGGUGAAAACUACAAAAAAACCAUGGCUUUCAUAUGGACAGAGAAAAUGAAAGAAAGGGAAAAGGCAGUGGUGUGCAGGCAAAUAUGGUUUGGCAUUUGUCUUUUAAUGACACCUGAUAUGUCAUUUUGAUUUUGAAAUUGAACACUAGAACUGUUAAUCACCUUUAAAAAGAAGAGCUUAUUGGGAAUUAUAUAUUCCUUAAAAUAUACAUGGGGGCCUGAAUGUCAGCCAUCUUUAUACUAUAAAAAGAGGAUUAUGGAUGCAUGAAUGGUCAUGCUUUGGAGAUCAAAUAUUGGUUGA